GUUCCUCUGAGAGGCUCUUCUCCCAAAACUAGGAAUAAGACUUCAUGCUGGCCAAUAACUUGGACGUCGAAACUUCCGGAGGAACAAAAGAGGAGGGAGGAAGCUGAAAAGAAUCUGCAGGACAUUAAAGAAGAGAUGAUCAACUCUAAGUUAGAGAAGGCUGACUUCAUUCAGAAGCUGAUGCAGACAUUUCUUACA
Non-coding RNA from Maylandia zebra (zebra mbuna), 198 nucleotides. The record is from RefSeq and is a predicted model, not a curated record. NCBI's taxonomy places the organism in Eukaryota, Metazoa, Chordata, Actinopteri, Cichliformes, Cichlidae.